RNAcentral lists this ribosomal RNA (322 nucleotides) under uncultured eukaryote. Its description in RNAcentral is "partial 18S ribosomal RNA". It matches the Rfam family "Eukaryotic small subunit ribosomal RNA", at positions 1470 to 1796 of the family's 1831-position model. The record is from RNAcentral.
CCCUUAGAUGUUCUGGGCCGCACGCGCGUUACACUGAUGCAUUCAACGAGCUUAUAACCUUGGCCGAGAGGCCUGGGCAAUCUUGUUAACGUGCAUCGUGAUAGGGAUAGAUUAUUGAAAUUAUUAAUCUUGAACGAGGAAUUCCUAGUAAACGCAAGUCAUCAGCUUGCAUUGAUUACGUCCCUGCCCUUUGUACACACCGCCCGUCGCACCUACCGAUUGAAUGGUCCGGUGAAAUCUCGGGACGGCGGCUUGGUCGCUUGCGUCCGACUGCUGAAACUUGAUUAAACCAUAUCAUUUAGAGGAAGGUGAAGUCGUANCA